Molecule: transfer RNA, 69 nt
Filed under: Crossocheilus langei (red algae eater)
Lineage: Eukaryota; Metazoa; Chordata; Actinopteri; Cypriniformes; Cyprinidae
Description: tRNA-Phe
Rfam family: tRNA
About the family: Transfer RNA (tRNA) molecules are approximately 80 nucleotides in length. Their secondary structure includes four short double-helical elements and three loops (D, anti-codon, and T loops). Further hydrogen bonds mediate the characteristic L-shaped molecular structure. tRNAs have two regions of fundamental functional importance: the anti-codon, which is responsible for specific mRNA codon recognition, and the 3' end, to which the tRNAs corresponding amino acid is attached (by aminoacyl-tRNA synthetases). tRNAs cope with the degeneracy of the genetic code in two manners: having more than one tRNA (with a specific anti-codon) for a particular amino acid; and 'wobble' base-pairing, i.e. permitting non-standard base-pairing at the 3rd anti-codon position.
Source: RNAcentral
GCUAGUGUAGCUUAACACAAAGCAUAGCACUGAAGAUGCUAAGAUGAGUCCUAAAAAACUCCACAUGCA